GCGGCAGUAACACAACAGCAAGACGCUAGCGUGGCUCUAACAUUUGCGCGGCGCUAAAGGAUAGAUUUCCAAUUACCCAUCAUGCUUUGCGACGGAUGCCAUACUGUGUGUCUUAGAGUUCAGAGAACAUAGUUGAAUGGUGAACCGCGAAGUUUUUUCGAUGGUUAAUUUUUCCGUUUGGUGUAAAAGUUAUGACGUCGUUUAAAGCAAAUGCAAACGUUUUGGAGUUUGAUGCUUUAAGCAGAGCCAGAUACUUGGAGAAAUUGAAGGACAUUGGCGGUAAAGAUCCAUAUGAAUUUCAAGCAAGCGACUGGAGUGACUAUGUGGAAGGCUACCCUGACAUUACAUAUCCGAUAUUGUUAAUUAUCACGUGAAUUCUAUGAGCGCAUAUAGCCUUGAUGAACUGAAGGCUUACAAGUCUCUACAAGCCUACAAUUACUUUGUAAGUGGGUGGGUUCAAGAUGUACGGCAACGGGUGAUCGGUAAUAAGUGUGUAAUGGCGGCUCGAGCGAGACAUUCUCAGAGGUCUACCGAUCCACUACUACGUCCCUGCAUCAUACGCCAAAAAGAUGGCUGCGUUCUCUCCCAUCAUUGUACUUGUAUGGCUGGUCUUGGAGAAGUGUGUUGACACGUGGCUGCCCUUCUUUAUGCAGUCGAGGCUUCAUUAAAAUUACGGGAUAGCAAGACAGUUAUAGAAGAAAGGUCUUACUGGUUACCCCCUUCUGCAGUUAAAAAUAUUGGAGUCGCGAGUGAGCUGGAGCCUGUCCCACCUGUAUUUUGGGCCAUAGACCAAACCCUCACUCCAACCACUGGACUGGUUGCUAGGGAAUUAUAGGGGACAUAUUGACAGGUUCCACGUACAUCUUCUCCUUUGGCAGCAGCGCCUCAUAGCACGGAGAGUAACCGGCGGGGGGCAGGAACUUGAAAUCUCCGUGGCGUCCACCCAACAAGAAACGCACUCUGAUGAAGCAAGAGUGAAACAUACUUGACACCAGCAGAGAAACUGAUGACAGGGAAGAAGAAUCCAUCCGUGUUGAAGUCUUCAAACAUGCCCUGCACGGGCUGCCCGUUGAUCCUAAAGGACAUGCUGGGGGAGCCCAAGUCCAGACAGCAGCUAACCACGUCGUCUGAAGUCAGCAGGUGCUGGUUAAUGGAGGCCACUGCCCGUGGGACGCGACCUGGACAAAAUGAAGGACACAUACACACAGGCGGAGAGUCAGUAGUAGUGAAGAUUCCCACCUGACCAGAGGUGAAGACCGUCAAAGCUGUAUGAGUAGAGAUCGUCGCCCACGCCGUUGCCUCCCCACCCCUCGCCUCCACCAGGAUACGGGGCGUAGCCUUUCGUGUUCGCCCAGCCCACCCUCAGGGUCGACAGAUGAUGAUGCCGAGAGAUCCAUCACUCGCGGUCACUUACCCAGGAGCUCGUAGAGGAGGUUGAGGAUGUCCUUCCACGCUGCCCCCGCCUCCUCCCCAGCCAUCUCACCAAAGUGGGCGGCGCUGUUGUACAGGGUGUACCCCACCUCAUACCCGAUGAUAGCUGGGAUAGGCUCCAGCCCUCCUGCGACCCUUGUGAGGAUGUGCGGCUCAGAAAAUGGAUGGAUGGAAGAAGAAUAAGAAGGAAAUCAUUUGUUCCAUUGUGAUCCUACAGUACAGGUCCAAGACGAGACGAUUUGGCAUCAGGCGCUUGGUAGGACAGCCACAGUCCAGUUGCCACAUGCAUGACGAAGCAGACAGAAUCGCCGUAUUUGAUCUCCGGCACUCCCAUGCCCUCAACGUCUCUCUUUGGGCCCGACUCACUCUUUUCCUGUUUAAGAUCAGUCCCCGGUCCUCGGUCAAGGCCAGGUAAUGGCCGGUGGAGAGGUGGCGUAGUCGGAAGGCCUGACCCCAGCGAAUGUGGCUUCCGCUCCAGCUGCACGUAGCACGCGUCACAAGCUUUUAGAUUUCGGAAUCAAUUCACAUUAAACGAGCGGCUCGCGAUAUCUCCUGUGGUAGAGGAGACUGAAAGAGAUGUCAACAGAGUUCGCUGGAGGAGCAACAAUUGGGAGUGGCAGCUCAGAAGAAAUGCCCAUCUAUCUAUCUAUCUAUCUAUCUAUCUAUCUAUCUAUCUAUCUAUCUAUCUAUCUAUCUAUCUAUCUAUCUAUCUAUCUAUCUAUCUAUCUAUCUAUCUAUCUAUCUAUCUAUCUAUCUAUCUAUCUAUCUAUCUAUCUAUCUAUCUAUCUAUCUAUCUAUCAUGUGUAUAUAUAGAGUAUGUAUUCAGUUCUGAGGACCCGGGUUCGAUCCCGGCCCCACCUGUGUGGAGUUUGCAUGUUCUCCCCAUCCCUGCGUGGGUUUUCUCCCACAUUCCAAAAACAUGCAACAUUAAUUGGACACUCUAAAUUUCCCCCAGGUGUGGUUGUGAGUGCGG
Molecule: long non-coding RNA, 2404 nt
Organism: Syngnathoides biaculeatus (alligator pipefish)
Lineage: Eukaryota; Metazoa; Chordata; Actinopteri; Syngnathiformes; Syngnathidae
Exons: 9
Source: RefSeq, a predicted model, not a curated record